CCUCCCUCCUUUCCUCCUCCUCCUCCCUCUCCUCCCACAAAGCUUUGCAGGAGAGCUACAAUCAAAUUUAGGACUUUUUUCACGUUUGGGCGCCAUUUUCGAUUGGACUGGAGGAUAUCUCAGGCCUGUUCCAAAGCCUCUCUGCUUCUCCUUGAGUUCUCCUGCUUUUCUUUUCUUUUUUUUCUGGCACAUCUGAAAUCUUGAAGUUCACUGCUGUGGAGUUGUAGCUGCAGGAUCUUGGAGUUCAAGUCUGAGGCUGCUGAGCACGGAGACCACCACUCCUUCAGUAAUAUUUACUGAUGAUCAGAAGGUCUCCACAUAUUUGGUAUACCCACCUUGAUCACAGCUCAAGCACUGUCUAGCAGUGUGGGCGAUAUGGCCCUAAAAUCGUUUUUGUGCUAACUGUGUUCUUUUGUCUAUGACAAAACAUUUAAAUUUUUAAGAAUAUACUACUGAAAUAAAAUGAUCACUAAGUUUUAAUUAGUAUAAAUA
RNAcentral lists this long non-coding RNA (492 nucleotides) under Astyanax mexicanus (Mexican tetra). RNAcentral describes it as "lncRNA (ENSAMXG00005003369.1)". Lineage: Eukaryota; Metazoa; Chordata; Actinopteri; Characiformes; Acestrorhamphidae. The record is from RNAcentral.